AGGCAUAUGUGCAGCAGCUGGAGAGCAGUAAGCUGAAGCUUGCACAGGUGGAGCAGUAAUACCAGAAAAGCUCGCCAGCAGGGAAUCUUCAUUUCUAGCUCUGGAGACCAAACCCAUGCCAUGAGUGGAAAUGGAGCGUUGACUUUUGACAUAGAAUAUGCUAGAUGGCUAGAGGACCAAAAUAAGCAAAUAAAUGAGUGU
Zea mays is the source of this 201-nucleotide long non-coding RNA. RefSeq lists it as uncharacterized. The record is from RefSeq and is a predicted model, not a curated record. The transcript is spliced from 3 exons. NCBI's taxonomy places the organism in Eukaryota, Viridiplantae, Streptophyta, Magnoliopsida, Poales, Poaceae.